This 1343-nucleotide ribosomal RNA is filed under the name uncultured bacterium. Its description in RNAcentral is "16S ribosomal RNA". It matches the Rfam family "Bacterial small subunit ribosomal RNA", at positions 28 to 1378 of the family's 1533-position model. The record is from RNAcentral.
GACGAACGCUGGCGGCGUGCUUAACACAUGCUAGUCGAACGGAAAGGCCCUGCUUUUGUGGGGUGCUCGAGUGGCGAACGGGUGAGUAACACGUGAGUAACCUGCCCUUGACUUUGGGAUAACUUCAGGAAACUGGGGCUAAUACCGGAUAGGAGCUCCUGCUGCAUGGUGGGGGUUGGAAAGUUUCGGCGGUUGGGGAUGGACUCGCGGCUUAUCAGCUUGUUGGUGGGGUAGUGGCUUACCAAGGCUUUGACGGGUAGCCGGCCUGAGAGGGUGACCGGCCACAUUGGGACUGAGAUACGGCCCAGACUCCUACGGGAGGCAGCAGUGGGGAAUAUUGCACAAUGGGCGGAAGCCUGAUGCAGCAACGCCGCGUGCGGGAUGACGGCCUUCGGGUUGUAAACCGCUUUCGCCUGUGACGAAGCGUGAGUGACGGUAAUGGGUAAAGAAGCACCGGCUAACCACGUGCCAGCAGCCGCGGUGAUACGUAGGGUGCGAGCGUUGUCCGGAUUUAUUGGGCGUAAAGGGCUCGUAGGUGGUUGAUCGCGUCGGAAGUGUAAUCUUGGGGCUUAACCCUGAGCGUGCUUUCGAUGCGGGUUGACUUGAGGAAGGUAGGGGAGAAUGGAAUUCCUGGUGGAGCGGUGGAAUGCGCAGAUAUCAGGAGGAACACCAGUGGCGAAGGCGGUUCUCUGGGCCUUUCCUGACGCUGAGGAGCGAAAGCGUGGGGAGCGAACAGGCUUAGAUACCCUGGUAGUCCACGCUGUAAACGGUGGGUACUAGGUGUGGGGUCCAUUCCACGGGUUCCGUGCCGUAGCUAACGCUUUAAGUACCCCGCCUGGGGAGUACGGCCGCAAGGCUAAAACUCAAAGGAAUUGACGGGGCCCCGCACAAGCGGCGGAGCAUGCGGAUUAAUUCGAUGCAACGCGUAGAACCUUACCUGGGUUUGACAUGGAUCGGGAGUGCUCAGAGAUGGGUGUGCCUCUUUUGGGGUCGGUUCACAGGUGGUGCAUGCCUGUCGUCAGCUCGUGUCGUGAGAUGUUGGGUUAAGUCCCGCAACGAGCGCAACCCUUGUUCACUGUUGCCAGCACGUUAUGGUGGGGACUCAGUGGAGACCGCCGGGGUCAACUCGGAGGAAGGUGGGGAUGACGUCAAGUCAUCAUGCCCCUUAUGUCCAGGGCUUCACGCAUGCUACAAUGGCUGGUACAGAGAGUGGCGAGCCUGUGAGGGUGAGCGAAUCUCGGAAAGCCGGUCUCAGCUCGGAUUGGGGUCUGCAACUCGACCUCAUGAAGUCGGAGUCGCUAGUAAUCGCAGAUCAGCAACGCUGCGGUGAAUACGUUCCCGGG